UCAGCCUUUUAAAAUCCUUUAUUUUCUCCUUUUCCACAUUAAAAACACAUUUGAGAUAUACACAGAAAAUGUUUCUCUAAAAAAACGCACACAUACACACAAAACAGGAGGUCUCUUAAGGAGUCUACUGCUGAGAAGGUAAAAGCAUUUUGCUCAUUUUUAAUUUGCUAAAACAAUCCAAGCAUGCUUGGUACCCAGAGGGUAUUCUCAAAUAAACUUGUAUCUCUAGCUGCCAGCUUAGUUGAUUGAAAACAGAAGGCAAACGUUUCUUAAAGAAUAUGUUAAACUGUUAUGUCUCCCAGUACCACUCAGGAUACACACACACACACACAGACACACACACGCACACAUACCGCAUAGUCAAGGAUUUGCUUGAAAGCAGCCAGUUCUAUUAUCUAAAAGGUAAUACAUUUGUACCAAAUUACUCCUGCCUACUGCGGUGCACCUUUUAGCGAAGAAGCCAGUGCCACUGGGAUCCUGGACAGUUCUGGUGUGCCAUUCUCCACGUACAAAGCCAACGGCCCCAUUUGCGACUUUGCUAACUUAGUUGGCUUCCGCCCAGCCGAACCCCGAAGCACAGUCACUGAAAACGUUUUGAUACCAGAAAAUCAUUUCCACGACAGUGCAAGUGUUCGAAAGCACAAAGGCAGACUGUCUACCCGCGACAGUUCGCAAGUUGCGGUGGCGGGGCGGCUGUGCGGAGCGCGCGUGCAGACUUUUUGUAGAAACUCUGCAGGUCAGAAGAUUUUUGUAUGGAAUGAUCUUCUCCAAUCAAUUAUUUGAAUCUAAGAGGAAGAGAAGAUCAUCAGUGGCAAAUGGCAGUCACAGGAAAGCAACACCCACAGCCGGUUUCACACGUGUGGAGAGCACCCUGAGCCUCCUCCUCCUGGUUUCCCGUGCUCUGCAAGUUCAGAGAAACUUCUCUCACAACCAACUAUAGAAACAAUCUUGGAACGUACAGUCUUAGAAAUGGCUUUUUAAUUGCAGCAUAUCAGAGUGAAAAAGGACCCAGAGAUGUUGGAAUCAGACAAUCCUGGUUUCAAAUCGGUUUCAUUGUUCAUCCUCAUGUGAUGUUUGGCAAGAAAUAAAACAUUUCUGCGUUCAGUUUCCUUGUCUGUGAUAUUACAUAACAUAUUGCAAAUAUGCUGAGUGUUGAGAAAAUAAUGAACAACAUGCAAGGAGUAGCUGGGAUAUGGUAGCAGCUCAGUAGAUAAUGAUGAUGAUCAAUAUUCACCAUUGACAAGUAGCUGUGAAAUCCACAAAUGGUGGACAUAAAAGGUUAACCAGUGAAGUGCUGGGACAACGUAGCUGAAGAAAUAUUGGAAUGUUCCUGCUCAGAUUGGCCUCAGCCUGAAAACUGUUUACUUCCUGCCCAAAUCUGGGGCCUGUCUCCUCUUCCAGCAUUCCCUGAGGGAGGAGACAGAGAAAGAAAGUAUAGGCAGAAAUCAUAGAAGUCAGCUGCUUUCAGAUAACUUCUAUAGCUGGUAUUUUUACAGAGACUACAUGUUGGGAGAUGGUAAAUUUACCUAGAAAUUAAUGUGAUGAAGACUUUAUACGUGAAACGGGAACUUUGGGAUACUGACAACAGACAGAAUAAUGACUCUGUAGUGGUUUUUUGGGGGUUUUGUUUUGUUUUAGACAAAGUCUUGCUCUGUCACCCAGGCUGGAGUGCAGUGGCGCGAUUUUGGCUCACUGCAACCUCUGCCUCCUGAGUUCAAGUGAUUCUCCUGCUUCAGCCUCCUGAGUAGCUGGGAUUACAGGUUCCCGCCACCACACCUGGCUAGUCUUUUGUAUUUUUAGUAGAGAUGGGGUUUCACCAUGUUGGCCAGGCUGGUUUCGAACUCCUGGCCUCAAAUGAUCCACCUUGGCCUCCCAAAGUGCUGGGAUUACAGGCAUGAGCCACUGCGCCUGGCCAUGAUUCUUUAGUAUUGAUAAAAGUUUUCAUAAAAGAUAUGUCACAGAGUAGGAUACAAAAAAGACACACAUCAAGCAUACUUUGGAUGGUGAAAUGAGAAUAGUGUACAGGGAAAGGCAGGAAAGACCUGGCUUAGGGAUUCUCCAGUUCCCCAACUGGGCACCACUGAAUGCUGGAAACAAUACUGAAGAUGACAAUUUUCUAGGGACCUAAUCUGGCAGAGGGUAAUAGUAACCCUCCCAGAAUGGUGUCUUAAUAAGUUUUCUUCCUGCUUGGAGAUGUUACGCUAUCUAUUUGCAAGUAUGUUUUGUCGUUCAAUUAUCAUAUCAAGCCUAUGAAAUUGGUUUUAUUUUUAGCCCCAUGGUCCUGGGAAUAUUUUGGGAAGUGGUUACAUCUUGAGUAAUGGAGAAUACCAGUUGAAUCCCACAUUGUGUGAAAUAUGUCUCCAUUGGAGAGAUUUACCAUUUGUCUUCCCAGUAUCCAUUCGCUAUUUUUAAGGUAAAAUGACACCUCAAAUUCCAUCUGGGGAACCACUCUCUCCCACUCUCAGGCCACAUAGUUUAAAAAGCAUCACAUCCAUUCUUAACAUUCUCUUUUGUUAGAGGAUUUAGUUCAUUCAUCCUCCAUGUGACCCAGUCAGAACGAGGCAUAAGGAGACUGUUGUUCUUUCCCAAGGGACUUGAACCUGGAAGUAGGUGAGCUGGUGCUACUGUUGCCACCUUGCCACCACAGGUAAGUGAAGAAUAAGGCCAAUGAGUGGAUGAACACAGAGCCCACUGAGAGGUGGACAGAAAAUGGGUCUUGAUGACAUUUUUGGAGCCUAAAUGAAACUGUUAUUGAAGAAAGUCCCAUCCUGGAAUUUUUACCUAUGUGAGCCAAUAAACUUUCUUCUGCCUUGAGCUAGUUUUGGUGGAGUGUUUUUUGUUUUUUUGUUUUUUUUUUUUCAUUUUCAACAGAAGAGAGUUGAUUUGGUUUGGCUGUGUCCCCACCCAAGUCUUAUCUUGAAUUCUAGUUCCCAUAAUCCUCACAUGUCAUGGGAGGGACCUGGUGGGAGGUAAUUGAAUCAUGAGGGUGGUUUCUCCCAUUCUGUUCUUGUGAUAACGAGUUCUCAUGAGAUCUUAUGGUUUUAUAAGCAUCUGGCAUUUCCCCUGCUUGCACUCCUUCUCUCUCCUGCCGCUGUGUGAAGAGGUGCCUUCCACCAUGAUUGUAAAUUUCCUGAGGCCUCCCCAGCCCUGUGGAACUGUGAGUCAAUUAAACCUCUUUUCUUUAUAAAUUAGCCAGUCUUGGGUAUUUCUUCAUAGCAGCAUGAGAACAGACUAAUACAAGAGUCCUAACUGGAAAAAGAUCUCUUUCUCCCCACUCAAUGCCAUAACAAACUAUAGAUAGAGCUUGUCUGUUAGGUGGCUGUUUUGCAAACCAAGGACAAAAUGGAAAACUGGCAAGUCAUGGGCAAUUUUAUGCUCUGAGAGAAUGUAAAGACAAUCUCCCCAACAUAGAGCACAUUUCUGCAGGGAUUGCUGGUUACAUACUGUGAUAGUUGUUCUUUCCGUCUUAAAGUCCUGAUUAUAGCUGGGCAUAUAAUCAAUUUUUUAAAAAGACUUCAUCAGACUCUUUUGUGACUCAGCAUGGCCAUCUGACUAAUCUCUGGCCAAUGGGAUUUAAGCAGCUUCUCCAGGUAAUUUCCUUAAAAGAUAGCCAGGAUGUGCCCUUUGUCCUUUUUUCUUUGUCCUUUCCUUCAUCGUGCUGCCUAAAAUGUGGGUAUGAUGGCUGGAAUUCUAACUAUCAUCUUGUAUCAUGAGGCCAGAUUUCUACUUCAGAAAUGGCAGAGCCAUGAGCUAAAAAGAUUCUGGAUCCGUAGGAACUUCAGGGAACAAGCUAUCUUACAGCUCUGGUUUGCCAACAUUUGAAUUCUUACUUGAGAAAGAAAUAAACCUCUGUCCUAUUUAAGUCACUGUUAUUUUGAGUUUUUGUUAGCAUCAAGCUUAAUCCUAAUUAAGGCAGUUCCAAGAACAUGUUUUACAAGAAAUUAUUUUCUCAAUCUUUCUUUGACUAUCCAUGAAACUGAAAAUGAGUACAGCUAAUGUAUGUAAAGUCCAUAUGAUGUUGAUAUAUUCUUUCAAUAUAUAUUAUAUAAGCAAUUGCAGCAAUGUCCAAGUUAGAUUCAGUGCAAACCAAAGUGACCCAAUUCUUCCUAUCUGCUGGGUGCUGUGCUAGGCCAAUGGGAUUUGUCAAUGAUAAAAGUACAAAUUUAUUUUUUCUUUCCUUAACAAAUAUUUCUUUUAUAAAAUUUUGUACCCUUUGACUAAUAACUGCAUUUUUUUUCUCCCCCUGGUGCCUGGCAACCACUAUUUUACUCUCUGCUUUUAUGAAUUUGAUUAUUUUACAUUCCUCAAGUAAGUGAUAUCAUGUAGUAUUUGUCCUUCUGUGUCCGGUUUAUUUCAUUUAGCAUAAUGUCCUCCAGGUUCAUCCAUGUUGUUGCAAUUGGCAAGGUUUUCUUUUCUUUCUUUAAGUCUGAAUAGUAUUCCAGUGUAGGUAUGUACCACAUUUUCUUUAUUCAUUCAUCUGAUGAUGGAUAUAUAGCUUAUUUCCAUAUCUUGGCUAUUGUGAAUAAUGCUGCAAUGAACAUGGGAAUGAAGGUAUCUCUUUGAGAUCCUGAUUUCCAUUUUUUUUUUGAUAUCUACCUAGAAGUGGGAUUGGUGGGUUUAUGGUUUGUUUAUUUAUUUAUUUAUUUAUUUAUUUAUUUAUUUAUUUAUUUUUGAGACGGAGUUUUGCUCUGUCACCCAGGCUGGAGUGCAGUGGCAUGAUCUCGGCUCACUGCAACCUCCGCCUCCUGGGUUCAAGUGAUUCUCCUGCCUCAGCCUCCCGAGUAGCUGGGAAUCCAGGCAUGCAACAACACGCCUGGCUGAUUUUUGUACUUUUAGUAGGGACAGGGUUUCACUAUAUUGGCCAGGCUGGUCUCGAGCUCAUGAUAUCAUGUGAUCCGCCCACUUUGGCCUCCCAAAGUGCUGGGGUUACAGGUGUGAGCCACUGCACCUGGCCAUCAUUUUUAAUUUUUUGAGGAACCUCUAUGCUGUUUUCCAUAGUGACUUACGAAUUUACAUUCUUACCAACAAUGUACAAUGGUUCCCUUUCCUCCACAUGCUCAAUAACAACUUAUCUUUCAUUUGUUUGUUUGUUUAUUUAUUUGUUUGUUUUAUAAUAGUCAUACUAACAGAUGUGAGGUGAUAUCUCAUUGUGGUUUUGAUUUGUUUAUUUGUUUUAUUAUUUGUUUGUUUGUUUUAUAAUAGUCAUACUAACAGAUGUGAGGUGAUAUCUCACUGUGGUUUUUAUUUCCAUUUCCCUGGUGAUUAGUGAUGUUGAGCACCUUUUUGUAUACCUGUUGGCCAUGUGUAUGUCUUCUUUGAAAACUGUUCAGGUCCUUUACCCAUUUUUUAAUCGAGUUACUUGCUUUUUGCUAUUGAGUUGUAGAAAUUAUUUAUAUAUAUUGGAUGUGUCAACCCUUGAUCAGAUAUAUCAUUUGCAAAUACUUUCUCCCAUUCCUUAUGCUGCCUUUGCAUUUUGUUGAUUGUUCUCUUUGCUGCGCAGAAUCUUUUUAUUUUGAUGUAAUUUCAUCUGCCUACUUUUGCUUUUUUGCCUGAAUUUUGGUUUUAUAUUUAAAAAAAUCACUGCCAAGGCCAAUGUCAGGAAGUUAUUUUCCUAUGUAGUCUUCUAGGAGUUUUACAGUUUCAGGUCUUAUGUUUAAAUCUUCAAUCCAUUUUGAGUUGAGUUUUUGGUAUGGUUUAAGAUAAAGGUCCAAUUGUCCAAUUUGCAUGGAGAUAUACAGUUUUUCCAGUACCGUUUAUUGAAGAGACUGUCCUUUCCCCAUUGUGUAUUCUUGGCACCCUUGUCAAAGAUUAUUUGACCAUCUGUUAGUCUAUAUGUCUGUUUUUAAGCCAGUACCAUACUGUUUUGAUUACUGUAGCUUAAUAACAUAUUUUUAUUUUAUUUUGAGUUUUAUAGAGGCAGGGUCUCACUAUAUUGGCCAGGAUGGUCUCAAACUCCUGGUCUCAAGCAAUCCUCCUGCCUCAGUCUCCCAGUGUGCUGGGAUUACAGGCAUGAGCCACCACACCUAGCUUUUUAUAUAUUUUGAAAUCAGGAAGUUUGAUGCCUCCUUCCAGUUAUGUUCUUGAUGAAAGUAUGAGUUUUAUACACAGAUUUAAUUUUUGGUUAAAAAUCAAUUAAAUUAUACUUUCAAAGAUAAGAUUUUGAGGUGUUUUAGAAGAGAAAUGAGAAGCAAGGUGCUAUGUAUAUUGUAGUUUGGAUAAAUGUUGUUCAUAGAGGUAUAGACACUGAAAGCCUUUGCUUCACAAUAGCUAUGGUACAGAUGCUAUAGGGCGGAAAAUAAUUAGUCAGGGCUGAAGUUAAUAAACUACAUAGGAAUCACUGGAUUCAAUUCUAUUUGUUUCACGGAGGUACUUCACAUUGCUAGGUGACUUUGAAGGAAAGCAAGUAUUUUUCAGCUUUAAAAUUAGAAAAAUUAGUGGAUGUUAGGCAAUCUACGAAAAAUUUUGAAGUAAUUAUUAGUAAUUUCUCAACAGUAGGUAAAUUCAAAUGUUCAUUCCCAUGUUAAAGAUAUGGAGGCAGAAAAUAAAAAACUAAAAAUGAUCAUGGGAGUGGUGUUGCUAGAAACUGGGAAUAACGUUCAUAUCCUUUAGCUUUGUGACUACCCAUCUACCCACACAUUCAUAUAUGGGAGUUAUUGAUAGUUCUGAUUUGUUUGAUUGGUGAAUGUCAUUUUCCAAGAUAUGUUGAAAUUCCUAGAAGAAAUAAGUGUUUUGUCAGGUGUGAUGAAUGCAGGGAAGGAAGAUGAAAACAAGACAACAUAGAUGUAUCAGUUUUCUCUUGCUGUUAAUAAACUACCCUAAAUAAAGCUUAGUGGCUUAAAACAAUAGCAUGUGAUUCUGGAGGUUGACAAUUUGGGCUGAGCUCAGCUGGGCAGUUUUGAUCUCAUCUUUUUCACGUGUCUUUUGCAACCCUGGGGUGACUAUGUGGGUCUUCUGGGAGUUGACGGCUGUUGGUUGAAAUACCUGGACUUUCCUCCACAUGGUCCCUCAUCCUCUAGAAGGCUAACAUGCACUUAUUCCCAUAGUAGUAGCAGAAUUUUAAGAGAAAGUGGGUUUGCAUGUGGUGGCUCACACCUGUAAUCCCAGCACAUUGGACAGCUGAGGCAGGUAGAUUGCUUGAGCCCAGGAGUUUGAAACCAGCCUGGGCAACAUGGUGAAAUCUUGUCUCUACAAAAAUUACAAGAAUUAACUGGUCAUGGUGUCACGGGCCUGUAGUCCCAGCUAGUCAGGAGGCUGAGGCAGGAGGCUUGAGCCUGGGAGGCAGAGUUUGCAGUAAGCCAAGAUCACGUCACUGCACUCCAUCCUGGGCAAUACAGCAAGACCCUGUCUCAAAAAAAGAAAGAAAGAAGAAAGAAAAAGAAAGAAAGAAGAAGGAAAAAGAAAGAAAGAAAGAAGAAAAAAGAAAGAAGAAAAAGAAAGAAAGAAAGAAAAAAAGAAAGAAAAAAGAGAAAGAAAGAGAACACAUACAAGGAAUGUAUUCUAAGGAUUGGUUUUGAUCUCAUCUUCUGUUCCUUCCACUGCAUGCUACUAUAGUUUCCAAAAAACGGUAAGACCAGCCUUUUUGAUGAGAGGAGCUGCAGUCACAUUUCAAAGGGCAUAGAUACAAAAAAGGGAGGGGCGUGGCCAUUUUUCAAUCAAUCUACUGUCAUGAACAGUAUUGGGAAGCUGAGGGAAGAUGGUCUUGAUUUGUUGUUGAAAAAAUGUGUGGAGAAAUAGGAAGAAAUAAAAAGAGGAUACAGGCAGGGAGAAAGAAGGGCAUCAAAGAGCAAUGGCUGGUUAAAAUGUGAUACAAACAGCAAUAGGGAACCCCGGAAGACCCUUAAGCAAGGCAGAAAUGUAGACGAAGCAGAGGGCAUGUAUAAACAUCCGCAGAGUUAUAGGAGACUUCUGGCUGAGGGCCCGGCAAGAUAAGUAGAGCGUUUGUAUCUCUGAGUUUCUGAGUUAAUGAUGCCAGCAGUCUCUGGACCGGCCAAAUUGUGGUGGAUUUAUUAUUUACAUUACAACUGCAUUGUAAAAUGAAAGCAUAUGUCUAUAUUUUCAAUGCUUUGAAAAUAUCAUUGAACAUGCUGUAGAAUUUUAUAUCCAGUAUCAGGAUGCAAUUUCCCUAUCAAAUAAAAUUGUUGUUUGCUUUCUGUACUCUAUAUUAUUAUGGAAAUUUCACAGUUUAUCAGCUACAGUGAAGUCGACUGAAAUGAGUAGGCCACAUAUUAUACAAGCUGUUUUCUCCCACCCCUCCGAAUAUCCUGAUUCCCUUUCUAUUUAUGCUAAUACUGUUUUAUGCUAAUAAUGUACUUUUUCUGUUUAUCUGUUUUGUUGCCAUACAGCCUGAUUCAUAGGAGAAACGCAAAUGUUUUAAAGCUCUCUGGUGGAAAUGAUAGUGUUCUGAAAUAACUCUAGCCAGGAAACAUCUUGGUGGUACCCUCUAGUUUCACUUUUCUUCCUGCCUCUCUUGAUGAUCCAUUGCUGAACCCAACAAAUAAGAAGUUGCUUAGGGCCUGGUUAAUUUUGCUGAUUUCUGCAAAGUAUGCCUGUGUUUGUUCCUAGUGACCAUAAGAGUAAUAGUAACUUACUGUGCAACUGGAUAAUAUUGGGGGAGACCCCCUUUUCCAAAAGCAAUUGACCCCCUCCCCCUUUUUAAAAUUGCAGUGUGAAACCAGCAAGUACCCAAAUCCUGUUAGCACAUAGUGUUCUUAUAUUUCUGAGUUCUGGAAUAACAAUUUAAUAGGGUGUGUCUCCCCUUAAUGGUUGUGAUGCAGGGCAGGCAAGCGCCCAAAUUUAAGGGCUUAUCCUGGAGAAUUCUUGGCUUUGUCCAGGAAAGAAUUCAAUGGCAAGCUGGCGGUGUUAAACAGCAAUCUUUUAUUGAACAGUAGUGCUCCUUGUGGAACAGGGCUAACUCCUAGGCAGCAGGCCUACAACCUGCAAUGUAGGGGCUGUUGGCAACUGUAUUUCUACCCACUUUCAAUUACAUGCAAAUUAGGGGGUGGGUCAAUGCAAUUUGAGGGGAUGGGUUAUUUAGAACUUUCUGGGAAAGGGGCAGUAAUUUUCAGGUCAUUGCCAUGGAAAGGGGUGGUAACUUUCAGGUCGUUGCCAUGGCAUUUGUAAACCAUCAUAGCACUGGUGGGAGAGUCUUAUGCUAACAGGCAAUGAGGGCAGCUAGCUUUCCUCACCAUCUGCUGGGUCCUGCAGUUUUCUUCGCUUUAUUCCCUUGGAACCUGGAAAUGAGUCCCGCUGGUGUCCUACCUCAGUUGCAUGUUUUGAAAAAUAUACCGCAUUAGAGCUUGGUAGCUCCUAUUUUCUCUAAAAGUGGUCUUCAGGUCUUGUGUCCAUUUUCUCAUUUUAAUUUGUUGCCCUGCAUUUGGCUGACUGUGGAUUCUGAGCAGGAGGGAAGGAUCAGCUGGCAAAGCAAGGAAAAGUAUGGUGGAAGGGUCCUUCCCUGAUUAGGGGUCUAGGGGAUAGUUAUUUAACCUGUAAGUGUGAGAGAUUUUAUAAAGAAAAUAUUCAGAAAAAUCGCUUCUCGGCCUUUUGGUUAAGAUCAAGUGAAGAAAAUAUUCAGAAAAUAUCCGCUUGUGUAAAAUAAUAUUUAAAGAACAAAUGAAUGUUUCUGGUAGCAUGUCUUCAUUAUAAAGCCAGGUCAGUUAAUCCUUGUGGCUGAGAGCAUGACCUUUGACGCUAGUUUCCACCUCUUCCUAGCUGCAUGACUGUGGGCAAAUAUGUUAAACCUCAGUCAGUCUCGGCUUAAUAAUAACUCAUAAGAAUGUGUCAAAAGUUAAAUUAAUAAGUGUAUUUGGUGCACAGUGCUUGGCAUACAGUAAGGGCUCAGCACUGGCAUCAUCGUCAUUAUCACUGUUGUUGUCGUCAUUGUCAUUAACCAGCCUCCUCACAUCUAUUUUCUUAUGCUGGUGUUCAAGGCCAAACUCUAUCAAUCAUGUGAUGUUGACUAGUAGGUGCUAGGUACAUAGCCCUCAACAAGUUUAUGAGAAAUAAGGGAAUGAGUGAGUGAAUCUAUCAAUCAUAUUGUAAUUACAGUGGUGCAGUGGUGUGUGUGCGUGUGUGUGUGUGUUUCUUUAAAAGGAGGAUUCAUUAGCUGAGCGUGAUGGUGAGCAUCUAUAGUCCCAGCUACUCAGGAGGCUGAUGUGAGAGGAUUGCUUGAACCCAGGAGUUCAAGCCACUGCACUACAGCCUGGGUGACAAAGCAAGAUCCUGCCUCAAAAAGAAUAAAUAAAUAAAAUAAAAUAAAAUAAAAGGAGGAUUCAACCCAAAUAAACAGAUAAGUGCUUUUGAUGACCUAUAAAUGGUGGAAUGACUAGUAACAAAAAACUUUCUCCAGGGAUUUAUUGAUGUUUUUGAAAAUCCUAAAUGGAAAACCAAUAGCAAGUACGUAGAAGAAGCAUUGCCUCAAGGCACCCAGGCCCUCACUUGACUUAUCUCUGUCUUAUCUCCCAAGGCUGCCCCUGAGGCUCCCCCUUUGGAAUUCUAGGGCUCAGAGGAGUCUGGGUGAACACAAAUGCCCUAAAGAAAUAUUGCAAUUAAUGUCUUUGUAGCUUGACUGUUUUAAUAAUGCUUUAAAAAUUGUUUGAAAAAAGGGCAAUGUUCAUAGCUAGAGACUGAAUUUCAGGCAACAAAUACAUCACAUUAUUCCAGACAUCUUGGCCAUCACAACUUCAGGAUAAUGUGCCCUGUUUUUCAGGAAAGGCUGGGCGUGGUGGCCCAUGCCUGUAAUCCCAGCACUUUGGGAGGCCGAGGUGGGAGGAUUGCUUGAAUCCAAGAGUUUGAGAUCAGUCUGGACAAUAUAGUGAGACCCCGUCUCUAAACAAAAAAACAAAUUUAAAUUAUCUGGGAAUGGUGGCACAUGCCUGUAGUCUCAGCUACUUGGGAGGCUGAGCAGGGGAGGAUAGCUUGAGCCAGAGAGGUCAAGGCUGCAGUGAUCAUAGCUGCAGUGAGCUAUGAUCACACCACUGAACUCCAGCCUGGGUGACAGAGCAAGAUCCUGUCUCAAAACAACAACAACAACCACAAAGUCCCCCUGCCCCCCGCCCCCAAAAAACACUGAGGAAAAUUCUAAAAUUAUGAAGUACAGAAAGCGUCAAGAUUGUUUUCAAAUUUACUGAAGUCUCUGACUUUCCACACUCUGGUCUCUAAUUAAUCUCUUUCCCAAGACUUCCCAGGGUGUUAUCUUCUUCUGAAUUGGUGCAUUCUCCUUAGAGCCCCUCCUUAAACAACCUCCUCUUGCUUUUAGGGACCUCUCUCCUUUCCCCGUUUAAAUCCUAUCCAUCUUUCAAGUCCUAAGACAAAUUCUAUCUCUUCUAGGAUAUAGUUUUCUACAACUCUCUCCCUUAUUUAGAUCCACACAGUGUAGCAUUUAAUUGUUCUGUGUUAGCUUUGUCUUCCUAAGUAGGUCACGUUCUCCUUGAGGGCAAAGAUUAUGCUUUAGUUUCCCUUGUUUCUCACUUGGAGAGGCUGGGAGUGAUAUAUACAUAGUAGGUGCUGAUUAAAUAUUUGUUGAUUGAUUCCCUGCAAAGGAGUAGCUGCAAACUAAAGUUAAAGCACUAAACAAACCAAAGCAGUGAUCUGAAUCUCCCUUUGGGAAGAUACUCUUACGGGAAUGGAAAAAAUUCUUCAAAGAGCCUUGUCAGUUAAUGUUCUUCUUUGAAUGCCCUUCUAAUGAGAUUUCAGGUGGGGGUGGUGCAGGGCUGCAGGAGCACUGUUCUCCUUUCCUGUAUAGUUUGGGGUCAGCUACCAAGGACAUCCCAGGAGAACAGGGACUCUGGGGUACAGAGGCAUGAGGAUAGGAUAUAAAACAAAAAGGAAGUGAAAUGCUUGUACACUCAUGUCUACACCCAAGAAUGUGUAAUGCAAGUCUCUUACCCACAAACCAGAAUGAAGAGAGGUUUGGUCCUGCAGCUAGAAAAUAAGAGCAAGAGUGAGAGAGAGAGAGAGACAGAGAGAGAGACAGAGCCCUGAGGCUCUUUGGGGUUGAUAAUAUUCUCUAAAGCUGGGGAGGGGAGAGCUGAUAAAAAGUGCUUGUUCACACUUAGCAGCAUGAAAGGUGACUGAGAAUUAGCCUAAGCCUCUGUGCCUAGCCUCUUUAUAAUGUACUGAAAGUUUCAUAGCUCUAUGCAGGGCAGAGACUGGGCAGGGUACAAUUCUUUACAAGACUAAAUCUUCAGGGCUCUAAGGAAAGGGAAAAGAAUGAAUGAGAGGCACACUAGCAGGGUUGGGAUAAAUGGGUGCAGGAGGAGAAAAGCUGCUUCUUCCUCUUCUCUGGAGAGAUCAAGGAUGAGUGGAUGGAGGGCUGUGUGAGCACAUACACUUCAGAACCUGAUGAUGGGUAGUGGCUGAGGCCACUCAUACAAACAUGAAAACCACUGCUGAGUUGAUGCACAUUCAUUUCUGAUAGCUCAGCAAUCUUACUAUAAAUAGGGAACAGCAGAUGCCAUUCAUUGUUCUGGAAUUGGAGGCACGGGCUCAUUGUCUUGCUUGGGAUAUUUGGACCGGCAUCAUUUAUUAAUCUAAAUAUUCAGUAAAAGUGGAAAGUCAAGGAUUCUCAGGUUAUGGAAAUUAGUGAUCCCCUCCAACAGAAAUAGACGUCAACACUACUUUUACAGAUGCUGAUGAAAAAGUAAAAUGAUUUGGUGGCCCAUUGGCCAAUUUACCUAUUCAUCUCUCUACCAUCUAUGAGUCUAUAUUUUUGAUGCAUUUCAAAGUAAAUUGCAGACAUCAACACACUUAACCCUAAAUACUUCAUAAUGCACAUAUAUAACUAAAGUUCAAUAUAUGUUUACAGUUUUUUUCUUAUGAUAUAAGAUUAGCAAGGUUGCUUAUAUACAAUGUAAAUUGCUUAUCUAUAAGAUGGAAUGGUCCCUAAUGUGGAUGUUAUCAUCCUUAAGUGGAAUUUUAAUUUCCACUCUAGGUCCAAAAUAUUUUCUUUGUAAAAUAAUUCCUUUGAAGUGAUAAUGGAACAUAUGAAACACACACACACACACACACACACACACACACACACACUUCAUCUCUCCUCUUGGAUCUUUGAACAUACACAUACACUCUCUUCGUCUCUCCUCUUGGAUCUUUGAACUUUGCUUCUGCUUAAAAUCUCUCAGGAUGGUUUCUGUAACUCUUUUUGGGGAGCGUUUGUUCCCUCUGGGUAUGAGGCUCAUCCACAGGUUCUUAAAUAUUGUAAAACCACCCAUGUCCCACAGGUAUAGCUGGGAAGACUGUUGGGUGAUUCUAAGAAAGGAAAAGCAGGCGAGGAGAAGAGGUUAGGAUAUUUUUUAUGGGAAAAAGCCAUAACCAAUGUCUAGAUGGUUGAAUAUGCAAUAAGCUGCCUGCUAUUGCCCUUGGUUCUCAGCGGAUAUUCAUAGCACAGAAUAUUCCAGGAAAAGUAGUAGUUUGGUUUCACCCUUGCUCUGCUUGGCAGUCCAGCAGUGCAUGGGUAGGGGAGGCCUCCCCAGCAGAAGACACUUUCAGAUGUGACCUUUCCUCACUACUUACAUUGAGAAGGAAGAGGGCAGAGCAGAGUAGGCUGGAGAUCUAAGAGCACAGUGCUCGGAGGAGAGAUGGUGGGAGAGAGAACGCAGCCCCAGUCACUCUCCUUUAUGACUUCCGGAGUCUGCUAGUGCCACAGUUCUCAAGUGUGCUUUGGGGGGUGGAGGGGGGUGCUCUGGAGGUCCCUUAUGACUUCCGGAGCUCACUAGUGCCACAGUUCACUUAGGGACCCUCUUAGGGUAUGUGUGAGGUCAUCCCUUUUCCAACUGCGUAGUCAUGUGAAGCUGAAUUUUCUUUAGCUACACCACUAAAACAACAUAUUGCAACAAAGCGAAUGCAGAAGUGGAUAUGAGAACCUAGCUGCCUUUUCUUAACAUAGGUGUUAAAGAGACUUGCAAAAAUGCAAAGUAAUGUUACUCUUCUCAUAAAUUUUUAAUUUUGGAAAAUAUAGUUUUUAAAUGGAAUAAAAAUGCUGUCUAUGUGUUAUGUACCUUAGCAUGUAAUGGGUUUAUAGUUCUUUUAAAAUAAAUGUCUACAUGAAUAUUUAAAGUUUUCUUACUUUUAAUUUCUUUCUCUCUCUCCCUUUCCUUCCUUCCUUCCUUCCUUCUUUCCUUCCUUCCUUCUUUCCUUCCUUCCUCCCUCCCUUCCUCCCUCUCUCUCUCUUUCUCUCUUUCUUUCUUUCUUGACAGAGUCUUGCUCUGUCAAGCCCAGGCUGCAGUGCAGUGGCACAAUCUCAGCUCACUGCAACUUCUUCCUUCCGGGUUCAAGCAAUUCUCCUGUCUCAGCCUCCUGAGAAAGUGGGAUUACAGCCGCCAGCCACCAUGCUUGGCUAAUUUUUGUAUUUUUAGUAGAGACAGGGUUUCACCAUGUUGGCCAGGCUGAUCUCAAACUCCUGACCUCAAGUUAUCCGCCUGCCUCGGCUUCCCAAAGUGCUGGAAUUACAGGUGUGAACCAUUUUAAUUUCUAAUAUCAUCACUAAUAAUCUACAUAAAUAAAAGCUGUUUGGGGUUCUCGAUAAUCGCUGAGUGAAGAGGCUCUGAGACUAGAGUUUGAGAACAUCUGCCUAAGGAAGAGCUUACGAAUUCCAAAACCAUGGCAGGAAUGGCGAUCCUUAGAGAAGAUGGAUUCAUUUCAGGGACAUGUUAACUGUAAAAAGAUCAACUCUUCCUCUCUGAACCAACAGCCUGUGUCUACUCCCAAGUGCAAGUGUCCUGAGAGAGGUAUGGCUGCAUGCCUGCCAGGGAGUUUCCUUCCUUUACUUCAUAGCACUGUUUGUUCACAACAUUUUCUUCCUUAUUGACUUGAACACAAGGACACCACCUACCUCAUGUCUUCCUUCUUCCCGUGGAUGUCCAGAUGAAGCACUCCACACUCCUUUGAGAGAGAUAAACAAGGAAGAUGUGUGCUUAGUCCAGAGGUUUCAUCAAGAAAUGAAAGCAGAGACAAUAAAGUUUUGGUCUUGGUUCUCCUGUUGGCUUCAGAAUGAACAUAAUUAAGAUGAUUAACGAUCAACUCAGGCCUGAAAAAUGAGUAACUGUAGGUCAUGUUGCCAUGAAGUUACGAAGAAAAAGAACUCUUCAGAGGUGUAUACAUG
This 15097-nucleotide long non-coding RNA is filed under the name Homo sapiens (human). RNAcentral describes it as "HSALNT0249171". The record is from RNAcentral. Lineage: Eukaryota; Metazoa; Chordata; Mammalia; Primates; Hominidae.